GAACGCCGUAUGCGGUGAAAAUCGCACGUACGGUGUGGGAUGGGGGAAAACUUGGAGAUUACUUCAAAGAGUUACCUAUCAUCAU
This 85-nucleotide non-coding RNA is filed under the name Enterococcus faecalis LA3B-2. Lineage: Bacteria; Bacillati; Bacillota; Bacilli; Lactobacillales; Enterococcaceae. The record is from RNAcentral.